Molecule: ribosomal RNA, 374 nt
Filed under: uncultured bacterium
Lineage: Bacteria
Description: bacterial SSU rRNA
Rfam family: Bacterial small subunit ribosomal RNA
Source: RNAcentral
AUGAUUAGCAAGUUAGCCCAUGGCCUUGGGAGGGGAUCAUUUAUAAUAGAUUGAAUGGUAAGACUCCGUUGUCUAAGAAGCAUAGCAGUGGGAUCGGCCGAGGAGGGGCUAGUUAGUUGGUAAGGUAACGGCUUAGCCAGACGAUGAUCUAUAGGGGGCCUGAGAGGGGGAACCCCCACACUGGUACUGAGACACGGACCAGACUCCUACGGGAGGCAGCAGUGAGGAAUAUUGGACAAUGGGUGGAAGCCUGAUCCAGCCAUCCCGCGUGUAGGAUGACGGCCUUAUGGGUUGUAAACUACUUUUAUCUGGGGAUAAACCUACUUACGUGUAAGUAGCUGAAGGUACCAGAAGAAUAAGCACCGGCUAACUCC